AGCCCUGCUCUACAAGCAAAAGGUUGGCCAAACCUGCUUCUGUGGGCCCUUAUCCUCCAGCUGAAGAGCAUAUGAGAGAAUGAUCAGAUGGAGAAGACAAAGCAAGAGGGAGACAUAAAAUUAUCUCACAGAGCUGCUCUUCAGUCAUGGUCGUGGUAAUGAACCAAGUUUUCAAGAAGAGGCUCGGUACCGAGAGCUGGAAGGACGAGACCUUGUCAGGACUCAGAUCAGCGAGGAAUCAAGCGCAGGAAGAGCAACCACAGGGCUCAGCUGGGGUCUCACAUUUUCCUUGGAUUUAAUAUUUGUGUCAUGUUUGGACUGCAGAAGCUCCUGGAUUAAUCCAGCCACAGUUCCUCUCUGAAUUCCUCUGAGGGUGCAUUUUGCUGGGCGGCUGUGUCUGCCCUUUGGGGCUGACCCACCUUAUGGCUGUUUGAAGGAAGUGCCCUUGCUCUCUGCUGCCAUUCUCUACCCUUGUCUUUCAAAACUUUCCAUUGUUCUCUUUUCUCUUUUUGCUUCUACUUUAAUGACUUGGUUAGUGGACCCCCCACCAGCCUCUAGCCUUCUUAGACCUUUUUGCAUAUCACAUGCUAUGUGAAAAGCAAAGGUUGCUCUAUCUGCCUGCAUGUACUCACAUUCACUUCUCACCUCAUUUAUUUUGGAUCUUGUUUUCUCUUCUGUAGCUUCACAACUGUGGGCCACAUCCAGUGGUGGUAGAACCAAGCCUGA
This is a long non-coding RNA of Pipra filicauda (Wire-tailed manakin), 726 nucleotides long. RefSeq lists it as uncharacterized. Lineage: Eukaryota; Metazoa; Chordata; Aves; Passeriformes; Pipridae. The transcript is spliced from 3 exons. The record is from RefSeq and is a predicted model, not a curated record.